AAAUGGUUUCCUUUCCAUCACUUUUAUGUUGUAUUUGCUAAACGAUACAUCGUGAUAGCUUCCAUUCAGCACAGGACAGGAUGCCUAGGAAAGCUCCCUCAGCUAAUGUGAACUAGAUCUCAAUCUGGCACACUGAGAGAUCGGUCCUUAUGUCAUUAAGAGGCAGAACAGAAGGGAAAAACAGCUGGAAAUAUCAGUGGAGGGAUUUGAAGACUUGGAGAAGACUGUCAGUCCAGUUCAGGUCCAGUCCCGCACUGGCAGGUUGGAAGGACCAGACAGUGGACAGGAAAAAUCGGGGUGAAGGUGAGAGCUGGAGCCUAUUUCGCACUUUGAGAGGAGGAGAGCCUGACAGCGAGGCUGUGCAGGGAGAGAUUGUCACGGGGUAGGUGGUCAGUAUGGUGUGAAAGUGGGUUAUCAGCCAUGACACAGUAAGGCCAAGGGGAUUUGGGGAGACAGGUGAGAGAGGGGGCAGCCAAGACCUCAUAGAAAGGAUAAAGCAGCAGAGACCAGGUGAAGCUCGGGCUAAUGACUGGUGAUUUGGUGGCUUGCUGCCAGGGCAGGGAUACUGUGAAGGGUUUUAGAUUUUAGUAAGUGGAUGGCAUGCUAAAAUGCCUGUUUCUCAGAAAAGGGGAGGGAGGACGUUAACCGUACUGAGCCUCCUCGUUAUCUCAAAUUCUGGAAAAGCAGGGAUGCUGUUUACUAUUUUCUAAAGAGAAGGACUAAGAGCAGUGGGGAGUUCUCCCAAGUAAUCAAUGGGAAGUCAGUGUGCAAGCUUCUACUGUCACUGCUAGAAUGAAUAGACACCUAAAUAUAACUUUUGGGUUUACCUAUUAAAAAACCAUAUAUCUUUUAGAAAUAUGCAUUAAGAGCGUAACGGAUUCUAACCCCUCACAUUGCUUCACUCUGAAGGGUUAAACCUGCCACAAAUUGGAAUUUCUUCUUAGAAAAAGCAUUUGGGUCAUGAUAUAAAAACAUUCAAGAAUAGAAAGCAUCUCCUGUAACUAUACGGUAAUUUGGUCCUGCCUGUUUUUCUUUUUCCUUCAUGUUUUCCUUGGUCUGAGAUGAAAAACCUGAAAAAUAUCAGUAAAAGUAAGAACAAUAAUAGGAAUUUUGGAAGAGGUGAGUUCACCAGCUGGGAGUGAAAUGCUCCCUGUGGCCAUGGGAGGCCACAGCUUAUAUUUUUGUCUCUCCCAGGUCUGUUCCACUGGGCAGCAAUUACCAAUAGGCUACUUAUUCUUCCUUCAGAACUUCUUUUUUUCAUUUUACAUUGUAAUUUGGUCUUCCAAAACUGUUGCUCUUUCUUCCUUUCUAGGCUUAUUCUUCAUGUCGAUGUACAGAGAACACCCAUAACAAGAGAGAUGCUUUUUCUCCAAGUGAGCAGUUUUUAGCAAUUAGGCCUCCUCUUCCAGAAACUAAAAAGAGAAGAGGCAGUCCAGCAGAUCUUAUUCAUGAAAAAUUCCCCGAGCCCUUCUAGUUAGUGGGAGUUUCACACCAAGAAAGGCCACAAGAUGAGUGAUCCUUAUGCUGGGUCCAGGCAGCACGAUGGAGAACAGUACUUGACUGAAAAACAGAGGGAGCAAAAACCAGAUACAAGCACAGGGAGGGUAGGGUUCUAAUUCUGGACCAGGAGACUGCUACGAAGAGAGGAACUCAACUGCAGCCGAAUGCUUCAGGAAAUGCCUCAUGGACCGGUAGUACUUGGAAUUUCUUUGAAUGGCAAUGUAACGUGUGUGCGAGUCCCUCUCAUGGGUCUCCAAAUCAGUACUUUCUGACUCCUCCUCACCUUCUGAGACCGAACCUGACUCUCUCAGUACCUG
Molecule: long non-coding RNA, 1817 nt
Organism: Cuculus canorus (common cuckoo)
Lineage: Eukaryota; Metazoa; Chordata; Aves; Cuculiformes; Cuculidae
Exons: 4
Source: RefSeq, a predicted model, not a curated record